This 85-nucleotide transfer RNA is filed under the name Arabidopsis thaliana x Arabidopsis arenosa. RNAcentral describes it as "tRNA-Tyr". It matches the Rfam family "tRNA". From Rfam's summary of the family: Transfer RNA (tRNA) molecules are approximately 80 nucleotides in length. Their secondary structure includes four short double-helical elements and three loops (D, anti-codon, and T loops). Further hydrogen bonds mediate the characteristic L-shaped molecular structure. tRNAs have two regions of fundamental functional importance: the anti-codon, which is responsible for specific mRNA codon recognition, and the 3' end, to which the tRNAs corresponding amino acid is attached (by aminoacyl-tRNA synthetases). tRNAs cope with the degeneracy of the genetic code in two manners: having more than one tRNA (with a specific anti-codon) for a particular amino acid; and 'wobble' base-pairing, i.e. permitting non-standard base-pairing at the 3rd anti-codon position. Lineage: Eukaryota; Viridiplantae; Streptophyta; Magnoliopsida; Brassicales; Brassicaceae. The record is from RNAcentral.
CCGACCUUAGCUCAGUUGGUAGAGCGGAGGACUGUAGUUGACACAGAUAAUCCUUAGGUCACUGGUUCGAAUCCGGUAGGUCGGA